AAUUAAAUAUAAUAAGAGCAUUUGGUGGAUGCCUUGGCAAUGGCAGGCGAUGAAGGACGUGAUACGCUGCGAUAAGCGUCGGGGAGCUGCGAAUAGGCUUUGAUCCGACGAUUUCCGAAUGGGGGAACCCAUCUUUGUGAUGUGUAUUUAGUACCUAGCGAAUAGCUAGGUAUCGAUUACUCAUCACGUAAUAAGAUAUUUAUAUCUGAAUACAUAGGAUAUAAAAGCGAACCUGGUGAACUGAAAUAUCUAAGUAGCCAGAGGAAAGGACAUCAAUUGAGACUCCCUUAGUAGUGACGAGCGAACGGGGAUCAGGCCAGUGGUUAUGUGGAUGUAAGUGGAAUGCGCUGGAAAGUGCGACCAUAGUGGGUGAUAGUCCCGUACACGUAAGAUAAACAUAAUCCAUGAGUAGGGCGGGGCACGUGAAACCCUGUCUGAACAUAGGGGGACCACCCUCUAAGCCUAAGUACUCGCCAUUGACCGAUAGUGAACAAGUACUGUGAAGGAAAGGUGAAAAGUACCCCGAUGAGGGGAGUGAAAUAGACCUGAAACCGAAUGCUUACAAACAGUUGGAGCGGACAUUGAUCCGUGACAGCGUACCUUUUGUAUAAUGGGUCAGCGACUUACAUUAUCUAGCAAGCUUAAGCCGAUAGGUGUAGGCGUAGCGAAAGCGAGUGUUAACUGCGCGUUGAGUUAGAUGAUGUAGACCCGAAACCAAGUGAUCUAUCCAUGGCCAGGCUGAAGGUGCGGUAACACGCACUGGAGGGCCGAACCCACGUCUGUUGAAAAAGACGGGGAUGAGCUGUGGAUAGGGGUGAAAGGCCAAUCAAACUUGGAAAUAGCUGGUUCUCCGCGAAAACUAUUUAGGUAGUGCGUCGGAUGAAUACCUUGGGGGGUAGAGCACUGGAUGGACUAGGGGGGCCCAAAGCCCUACCAACUCUAACCAAACUCCGAAUACCCAAGAGUACUAUCCGGCAGACAGACUAUGGGUGCUAACGUCCGUAGUCGAGAGGGAAAAAACCCAGACCUACAGCUAAGGUCCCCAAAUCGUGGUUAAGUUGGGAAGCAUGUGAGAUGGCCAUAACAACCAGGAGGUUGGCUUAGAAGCAGCCAUCCUUUAAAGAAAGCGUAACAGCUCACUGGUCUAAAUAAGCUGUCUUGCGGCGAAGAUGUACCGGGGAUUAAACCACGUACCGAAGCUUAGGGCUUGCAUAGCAAGCGGUAGCGGAGCAUUCUGUAAGCCUGUGAAGGCGCAUCGUGAGGUGUGCUGGAGGUAUCAGAAGUGAGAAUGCUGACAUGAGUAGCGACAAACAGAGUGAGAAACUCUGUCGCCGAAAUCCCAAGGGUUCCUGUCUUAUGCUAAUCAGGGCAGGGUUAGUCGGCCCCUAAGGCGAGGCAGAAAUGCGUAGUCGAUGGGAACACGGUUAAUAUUCCGUGACCUGAAGGUGGUGACAUAUCACGCAAAUAGUGCAAUCUUAUUGGAUUGAUUGUGCUGUGAAGUGGUAUCAGGAAACAGCCCCUUCAUAUAGACCGUACCCGAAACCGACACAGGUGGGAUGGUAGAGUAUACCAAGGCGCUUGAGAGAACGAUGCUGAAGGAACUAGGCAAAUUGCACUCGUAACUUCGGAAGAAGAGUGACCUCUUUUAAGGCAACUUUUAAGAGGUGGCACAGAGCAGGGGGUGGCGACUGUUUAUUAAAAACACAGGGCUCUGCGAAGUCGUAAGACGACGUAUAGGGCCUGACGCCUGCCCGGUGCUGGAAGGUUAAUGAAAGCUGUGCAAGCAGUGGACUGAAGCCCCAGUAAACGGCGGCCGUAACUAUAACGGUCCUAAGGUAGCGAAAUUCCUUGUCGGGUAAGUUCCGACCCGCACGAAUGGCGUAACGACUUCCCCGCUGUCUCCAGCAUCGACUCAGCGAAAUUGAAUUCUCCGUGAAGAUGCGGAGUUCCCGCGGUCAGACGGAAAGACCCCGUGCACCUUUACUAUAGCUUUACAUUGGUAUUAGGCAAUUCAUGUGCAGGAUAGGUGGGAGACAUUGAAGGAGAGGCGCAAGCCUUUCUGGAGUCAUCCUUGAGAUACCACCCUUGAAUUUCUUGAUAUCUAACCACGACCCGUGAAUCCGGGUUUGGGACCAUGUAUGGUGGGUAGUUUGACUGGGGCGGUCGCCUCCCAAAGUGUAACGGAGGCGUGCGAAGGUAGGCUCAGGACGGACAGAAAUCGUCCUUUAGAGUGUAAUGGCAUAAGCCUGCCUGACUGCGAGACUGACAAGUCGAGCAGAGACGAAAGUCGGUCAUAGUGAUCCGGUGGUUCCUCGUGGAAGGGCCAUCGCUCAACGGAUAAAAGGUACGCCGGGGAUAACAGGCUGAUACUGCCCAAGAGUCCAUAUCGACGGCAGUGUUUGGCACCUCGAUGUCGGCUCAUCUCAUCCUGGGGCUGGAGAAGGUCCCAAGGGUAUGGCUGUUCGCCAUUUAAAGAGGUACGUGAGCUGGGUUUAG
This 2496-nucleotide ribosomal RNA is filed under the name Alphaproteobacteria bacterium. RNAcentral's name for it is "partial 23S ribosomal RNA". It matches the Rfam family "Bacterial large subunit ribosomal RNA", at positions 1 to 2614 of the family's 2925-position model. Lineage: Bacteria; Pseudomonadati; Pseudomonadota; Alphaproteobacteria. The record is from RNAcentral.